GAUGAAUAACGUAGCGAAAUGCGAUAACUAAUGUGAAUUGCAGAAUUCAGUGAAUCAUCGAGUCUUUGAACGCACAUUGCGCCCCCUGGUAUUCCGGGGGGCAUGCCUGUCCGAGCGUCAUUGCUGCCCUCAAGCACGGCUUGUGUGUUGGGCUCCGUCCCCCCGGGGACGGGUCCGAAAGGCAGCGGCGGCACCGAGUCCGGUCCUCGAGCGUAUGGGGCUUUGUCACCCGCUCUGUAGGCCCGGCCGGCGCCAGCCGACAACCAAUCAUCCUUUUUUCAGGUUGACCUCGGAUCAGGUAGGGAUACCCGCUGAACUUAAGCAUAUCAAUAAGCGGAGGA
Molecule: unclassified non-coding RNA, 341 nt
Filed under: soil metagenome
Description: partial contains 5.8S ribosomal RNA, internal transcribed spacer 2, and large subunit ribosomal RNA
Rfam family: 5.8S ribosomal RNA (bases 1-120)
Source: RNAcentral